RNAcentral lists this ribosomal RNA (468 nucleotides) under uncultured bacterium. RNAcentral's name for it is "partial 16S ribosomal RNA". The stretch from base 49 to 468 matches the Rfam family "Bacterial small subunit ribosomal RNA", at positions 39 to 507 of the family's 1533-position model. The record is from RNAcentral.
GGGGGGGGGGGGGGGGGGGGGGGGCGCGGGCGGGGCGGGCGGGGGGGGGCGGCUGGUGGGGGGUGCUCGAGUGGCGAGCGGGUGGGUAACACGUGGGUAACCUGCCCUUGACUUUGGGAUAACUUCAGGAAACUGGGGCUAAUACCGGAUAGGAGCUCCUGCUGCAUGGUGGGGGGUGGAAAGUUUCGGCGGUUGGGGAUGGACUCGCGGCUUAUCAGCUUGUUGGUGGGGUAGUGGCUUACCAAGGCUUUGACGGGUAGCCGGCCUGAGAGGGUGAACGGCCACAUUGGGACUGAGAUACGGCCCAGACUCCUACGGGAGGCAGCAGUGGGGAAUAUUGCACAAUGGGCGGAAGCCUGAUGCAGCAACGCCGCGUGCGGGAUGACGGCCUUCGGGUUGUAAACCGCUUUCGCCUGUGACGAAGCGUGAGUGACGGUAAUGGGUAAAGAAGCACCGGCUAACUACGUG